Molecule: ribosomal RNA, 514 nt
Filed under: uncultured bacterium
Lineage: Bacteria
Description: bacterial SSU rRNA
Rfam family: Bacterial small subunit ribosomal RNA
Source: RNAcentral
GAGUUUGAUCUUGGCUCAGGAUGAACGCUAGCGGCAGGCUUAAUACAUGCAAGUCGAGGGGCAGCAGGUGUAGCAAUACAUGCUGGCGACCGGCAAACGGGUGCGGAACACGUACAGAACCUUCCUUUAAGUGGGGGAUAGCCCAGGGAAACUUGGAUUAAUACCCCUUAACAUUAUGUGAUGGCAUCAUUAUAUAAUUAAAGCUCCGGCGCUUAAAGAUGGCUGUGCGGCUGAUUAGGUAGUUGGCGGGGUAACAGCCCACCAAGCCUGCGAUCAGUAACUGGUGUGAGAGCACGACCAGUCACACGGGCACUGAGACACGGGCCCGACUCCUACGGGAGGCAGCAGUAAGGAAUAUUGGGCAAUGGACGCAAGUCUGACCCAGCCAUGCCGCGUGAAGGAUGACGGCCCUCUGGGUUGUAAACUUCUUUUAAUCUGGGACGAAAAAGGGGAAUUCUUUCUCAACUGACGGUACCAGAUGAAUAAGCACCGGCUAACUCCGUGCCAGCAGCCG